This 406-nucleotide ribosomal RNA is filed under the name uncultured bacterium. RNAcentral's name for it is "partial 16S ribosomal RNA". It matches the Rfam family "Bacterial small subunit ribosomal RNA", at positions 30 to 526 of the family's 1533-position model. The record is from RNAcentral.
AUUGAACGCUGGCGGCAGGCUUUACACAUGCAAGUCGAACGAGUGGCGGACGGGUGAGUAAUGUAUCGGAACCUGCCCGAUGGCGGGGGAUAACUACUCGAAACGGUGGCUAAUACCGCAUACUAUUGUCUCUGCCACAAUGGGAUUAGCUAGUGGGUGGGUUAACGGCUCACCAAGGCAACGAUCCCUAGCUGGUCUGAGAGGAUGACCAGCCACACUGGAACUGAGACACGGUCCAGACUCCUACGGGAGGCAGCAGUGGGGAAUUUUGCACAAUGGGGGAAAGCCUGAUGCAGCCAUGCCGCGUGUAUGAAGAAGGCCUUCGGGUUGUAAAGUACUUUUGGCAGAGAAGCGUUACCCGCAGAAGAAGCACCGGCUAACUACGUGCCAGCCGCCGCGGUAAUUC